This 480-nucleotide ribosomal RNA is filed under the name Mycoplasma sphenisci. Its description in RNAcentral is "bacterial LSU rRNA". It matches the Rfam family "Bacterial large subunit ribosomal RNA", at positions 1 to 498 of the family's 2925-position model. Lineage: Bacteria; Bacillati; Mycoplasmatota; Mollicutes; Mycoplasmatales; Mycoplasmataceae. The record is from RNAcentral.
CUUUUAAAUAAGUAAGAGUUUGUGGUGGAUGCCUUGGGUCUGAAAGUCGAUGAAGGACGUGAUUACCUGCGAUAAGCCUCGUGGAGCCGGAUAUGUGCUAUGAAACGGGGAUUUCCGAAUGGGGAAACCUAACUAGGGUUAUGCCUAGUUGCAAAUGCGAGACACCUUGUGAACUGAAACAUCUUAGUAGCAAGAGGAAAAGAAAAUAAAUAAUGAUUUCUUCAGUAGCGGCGAGCGAACGAGAAAGAGCCCAAACCACUUUUUAAAGUGGGGUUGUAGGACAAUCUACAUAGAGUUACAAACCUUAAUGAUAGCAGAAGCUUUUGGGAAGAAGCGACAUAGAGGGUGAUAUCCCCGUAUGCGAAAUUGUUAAGGCUCUUGAUUGUAUCCUGAGUAGGGCGGGGCACGUGAAACCCUGUCUGAAUCUGCCGGGACCACCCGGUAAGGCUAAAUACUAAUCAGACACCGAUAGUGAACUAG